Molecule: ribosomal RNA, 281 nt
Filed under: uncultured Actinomycetales bacterium
Lineage: Bacteria; Bacillati; Actinomycetota; Actinomycetes; Actinomycetales
Description: partial 16S ribosomal RNA
Rfam family: Bacterial small subunit ribosomal RNA
Source: RNAcentral
UGUGCCAGCAGCCGCGGUAAUACGUAGGGUGCGAGCGUUGUCCGGAAUUACUGGGCGUAAAGGGCUCGUAGGUGGUUUGUCGCGUCGUCUGUGAAAUUCCGGGGCUUAACUCCGGGCGUGCAGGCGAUACGGGCAUAACUUGAGUACUGUAGGGGUAACUGGAAUUCCUGGUGUAGCGGUGAAAUGCGCAGAUAUCAGGAGGAACACCGAUGGCGAAGGCAGGUUACUGGGCAGUUACUGACGCUGAGGAGCGAAAGCAUGGGUAGCGAACAGGAUUAGAU